RNAcentral lists this ribosomal RNA (450 nucleotides) under uncultured bacterium. RNAcentral's name for it is "partial 16S ribosomal RNA". It matches the Rfam family "Bacterial small subunit ribosomal RNA", at positions 354 to 796 of the family's 1533-position model. The record is from RNAcentral.
GUGGGGAAUAUUGGACAAUGGGCGAAAGCCUGAUCCAGCCAUGCCGCGUGUGUGAAGAAGGUCUUCGGAUUGUAAAGCACUUUAAGUUGGGAGGAAGGGCAGUAAGUUAAUACCUUGCUGUUUUGACGUUACCGACAGAAUAAGCACCGGCUAACUUCGUGCCAGCAGCCGCGGUAAUACGAAGGGUGCAAGCGUUAAUCGGAAUUACUGGGCGUAAAGCGCGCGGAGAGGGUUUUGUAAGUUGGAGGUGAAAUCCCCGGGCUCAACCUGGGAACUGCCUCAAAAACUGCAGGACUAGAGUACGGUAGAGGGUAGUGGAAUUUCCUGUGUAGCGGUGAAAUGCGUAGAUAUAGGAAGGAACACCAGUGGCGAAGGCGACUACCUGGACUGAUACUGACACUGAGGUGCGAAAGCGUGGGGAGCAAACAGGAUUAGAAACCCCAGUAGUCC